RNAcentral lists this RNase P RNA (402 nucleotides) under Ketogulonicigenium vulgare. RNAcentral describes it as "bacterial RNase P". It matches the Rfam family "Bacterial RNase P class A". From Rfam's summary of the family: Ribonuclease P (RNase P) is a ubiquitous endoribonuclease, found in archaea, bacteria and eukarya as well as chloroplasts and mitochondria. Its best characterised activity is the generation of mature 5'-ends of tRNAs by cleaving the 5'-leader elements of precursor-tRNAs. Cellular RNase Ps are ribonucleoproteins. The record is from RNAcentral. RNAcentral also lists the same sequence under 1 other name. Lineage: Bacteria; Pseudomonadati; Pseudomonadota; Alphaproteobacteria; Rhodobacterales; Roseobacteraceae.
GCGGAUGGCUGGAUGACCGCGGGCGCCCUUGCGGCGUUCGAGGAAAGUCCGGACUCCAACAAGCACGGUGCCGGGUAACGCCCGGCCGGGGAAACCCGAGGGAAAGCGCCACAGAAAAGAAACUACCCUGCAUGUCGGGGUAAAGGUGAAACGGUGGGGUAAGAGCCCACCGCGGGACUGGCAACAGGACCGGCAUGGCAAGCCCCACCGGGAGCAAUGCCAAAUAGGGACCCCGCGCGGGAGCAUGGUCCAGAGCAAUCUGGAUAUCGCCGUAGGGAUGCUUUAGCCCGAGGGGUCCGGGUUGGCAGCUAGAGGUGUCAUGGUAACAUGGCGCUAAGAUGAAUGGUCAUCCACGGGGGGAAACCCCCUGGACAAAAUCCGGCUUAUAGGCUGUCCGCGCAG